AUGGGCCCAACUGGGCCGGACAGGACCAGAGGGGGGAAAUCUGCCACCGACGAAAGAGGGGGAGGAGAGGCAGGCCCACUGGGCAACAACAAACCGCAAGGCCCAUCAAGCCCACCCGAGGGGACGUCCCACGGCCCGAUGGCCACCGCGGAGAAAUCAAGAUCUAGGUUACACGAAGCCACCAGCGACCCCGCCGUCGCCGCCGCCGGCGACGAGGCCGCCGCAGAGGCUGCAGGAGAGGGUGAUGGGAGGCCACCAAGCUCCCCAUCAGGUGCACUGCCCAGGACAACAAGAUCAGGUGACGCAACAGCAAACUUACCAGACUUAUGCCGCCACCGAGAGAUCCGAAUCCAGCCAUCGACCGACGAGGACGCGGCCACCGACCGGCCCCGGCCACCAGGAGCGAACUUGCGGGGACGAGGAGCGGCGGAAGGCACCACCACCCCCAGCACAAGGCACGGGACCACAGGGGGAAGGGACCGAUGA
RNAcentral lists this ribosomal RNA (486 nucleotides) under Triticum aestivum (bread wheat). RNAcentral's name for it is "partial small subunit ribosomal RNA". Lineage: Eukaryota; Viridiplantae; Streptophyta; Magnoliopsida; Poales; Poaceae. The record is from RNAcentral.